Molecule: ribosomal RNA, 477 nt
Filed under: uncultured bacterium
Lineage: Bacteria
Description: bacterial SSU rRNA
Rfam family: Bacterial small subunit ribosomal RNA
Source: RNAcentral
CGAAGAACCUUACCAGGUCUUGACAUCCUCUGACACUCCUAGAGAUAGGACGUUCCCCUUCGGGGGACAGAGUGACAGGUGGUGCAUGGUUGUCGUCAGCUCGUGUCGUGAGAUGUUGGGUUAAGUCCCGCAACGAGCGCAACCCUUGAUCUUAGUUGCCAGCAUUCAGUUGGGCACUCUAAGGUGACUGCCGGUGACAAACCGGAGGAAGGUGGGGAUGACGUCAAAUCAUCAUGCCCCUUAUGACCUGGGCUACACACGUGCUACAAUGGAUGGUACAAAGGGCUGCAAAACCGUGAGGUCAAGCGAAUCCCAUAAAACCAUUCUCAGUUCGGAUUGUAGGCUGCAACUCGCCUACAUGAAGCUGGAAUCGCUAGUAAUCGUGGAUCAGCAUGCCACGGUGAAUACGUUCCCGGGUCUUGUACACACCGCCCGUCACACCACGAAAGUUUGUAACACCCAAAGUCGGUGGGGUAA